Molecule: long non-coding RNA, 604 nt
Filed under: Numida meleagris (helmeted guineafowl)
Lineage: Eukaryota; Metazoa; Chordata; Aves; Galliformes; Numididae
Description: lncRNA (ENSNMEG00000003825.1)
Source: RNAcentral
GCGGUGACGGUGACAACAGCCCCACGAUGACCCCGAGGGACAACACCCGGCGCUUCGCGUCACCCGCGCCGAUGUCACCCUUCGAGCGUCACCCAUUUGUCACCCGUUUCAUUGUCACCAUUUUGUCACCCCUUCAGUGUCACCCUACUACCAUCACCCGCUUGUCACCCUUUCGGUGUCACCAUUUUGUCACCCUUUCAGUGUCACCCUUCUACCGUCACCCGCUUGUCACCCUUUCGGUGUCACCAUUUUGUCACCCGUUUCGCGACCACCAUUUUGUCACCAUUUUGGUGUCACCAUUUUGUCACCCUUUCCGUGUCACCCUUUCAGUGUCACCCAUUUGUCACCAUUUUGUCACCCCUUCCAUGUCACCCUUCUACCGUUACCCGCUUGUCACCCUUUCGGUGGCACCCUUUUCCUGUCACCCGUUUCAGUGUCACCAUUUUGUCACCCCUUCAGUGUCACCCUUCUACUGUCACCCGCUUGUCACCCUUUCGGUGUCACCAUUUUGUCACCCCUUCAGUGUCACCCUUCUACCGUCACCCACUUGUCACCUUUUCGGUGUCACCGUUUUCCUGUCACCCAUUUCAGUGUCACCAUUUUG